This is a long non-coding RNA of Jatropha curcas, 747 nucleotides long. RefSeq lists it as uncharacterized. The record is from RefSeq and is a predicted model, not a curated record. Lineage: Eukaryota; Viridiplantae; Streptophyta; Magnoliopsida; Malpighiales; Euphorbiaceae.
UAUAACAAUUCCCUUCUGCUAAUAAGAGUCAUGAGUUUCCAUCAAAAAUACACUGCUGCGUUGUUAUUCUUUUUUCUUCUUCUUCUUCUCCUUCUUUCCGCAGCCUCUUCCGUUAAUUUUAAAUAUGGGAGUUUGUUGUUUGAGAAGAAAGCAAUAUUAGAUUCAACACCCCCGAGUUGCCAAGACAAGUGCCAUGGAUGCCAGCCAUGUCGUGCGGUUCAAGUGCCUGAACCGAAUCCUCCUCCAGGUCCAAUUGAAAAUCCAGGUUAUAUUGGAGAUCCAGGUUAUAAGCCAAUCGUUUGGAAGUGUAAAUGUGGUGGCAAAUUUUAGGCCUGAUGCAUAAAUUUGCCUUUGAAAUUUAUACGAUUUGUCUUGUAGCACUUCAAGUUUGUGAGAUUUAUCAUGAUCCUACAUUUUGACAUUUCCAUAAUAACUAUAACUUUCGCCAAAAUAAAAUGUAAAAGUCCAACUCUAACAAUUUAUUUUAGCGAAAGACAUAAUUAUUAUUAAAAUGUCAAAGUAUAGGGUCAUGAUAGGUCCCCACAAAUUUGAGGGAGAAAUUUCAAGCGCAAAUCUAUGCAUUUGACCAAAUUUUAUGAUAGUCAAUGAUCUUAGUUCUAAGGUGCCUAUAAUAUGAUGUUAAUGAAAUUCUGAGGCUAAAUAUAAUCUUAAAAACAAAAAUUUAGCCUCUACAAAUAAUUAAUUAAUGUUUAUUAUUAUUUUUCAUUAAUAGAAUAGAAUCUGGUG